AGUAUCUAAGCAAAGCAGACCCCACUUAGUGCAGUUCGAUCGCUCUCGUCGUCAAGUGACAGACUGUUGUCUGGACGGAUCUAGCUUGGUAACGCGCACAAAAACUAGCAACACGUAAAGGCGAUAGAAGAAGCAGACCAAAUUCGUCAGGCGAACACAAAACUUUUUCUCAAGCCCAUAACCAAGAUAGAAACUACUAAGUGUCUUAAACCAGUUCCUC
Molecule: unclassified non-coding RNA, 220 nt
Filed under: Pectinophora gossypiella (pink bollworm)
Lineage: Eukaryota; Metazoa; Arthropoda; Insecta; Lepidoptera; Gelechiidae
Description: uncharacterized LOC126380537
Source: RNAcentral